Mycena leptocephala is the source of this 95-nucleotide non-coding RNA. Lineage: Eukaryota; Fungi; Basidiomycota; Agaricomycetes; Agaricales; Mycenaceae. The record is from the annotation of a GenBank genome assembly.
GACCUGGUGGUGAAAGGCAUCAUAUCCACAUUGCUUGGGGUGUCUGCUGAACAAGGUAUUUGUGGGAGUCCCCGGUUCGAAUCUGGGCCAGGUCA